AAAAAAGAGUAAGAGUUUAGAGUUCUAAGGGGGAUACAAAAGUGUUAAGUCUAGUAAAGGGUUUGGAAUUCAAAGAAGUUAGGCAUUGUGAUUCAAAGAAAAGGGUAAAUCGCCCUAUGUGCUAAGAUUAGAAGAAAAGCCUUAAGUUUGUCAAAGUAUAAAACCGAACGCGCUAGACUCUUAAAUCGUUUCAAAGAGAACCCCUUAGAACUUGAACGAAAAAGAGAGAAAGAAUGAGAAAAAGGGUAGAGUUAGGACAUCUAUGGGACUGGGAUCAUCUUCUGAGCUAUCAUACUAUAUCAUUGGGUAGAUGGGAGUCUGUUCUUGUAUGUGUCCAUUGACUUUUACCUUUAGCAUUCUACUGAAGCUCAAUCUUUUCUCUGAGAGUCCCCUGUUACUCGACCAAACCAUUAGAGGGACCAUUUUUGUCUCUUAGCCUAAGCCCGAAAUCAAGUGAGUUCAUAACUGAUAAUAGGUUUUUAACAUCAAUUAAUCCUAAAGCACUAUUAUGUCGUUGUAGUACUGAAGGUUGUCAAUCCAAAUGAGUGUGAUGCUAACAAUCAAGAUGUGAUCAGAAGUCACUAAGUCAAGCCAAGCAAUAACAGGUUUUGGUGUGUUCUAGCAGUCCUAAGUGAACAUGCAGAAAACAGAAAAUCAAACAUAAACAGUAAAACACUCGACCAAUACUGCUCUUUGCAGAGCACUGGGUGAGGUCGAGUGACAGGUCGAGUAACAGACAGAAAGUAUAACACAGAUACUCGACUGCACAGUCUGUUGCUAGACAACUGGGUGGUCGAGUAUGAGGUCGAGUAACAAAAAAGAAUUGCAGAAAUUAAGCAAAAGAUGACAAGAUGCAGUAAACAACAGUAGAGUAAACAAAGAAUUCAAUCAGAUAAAGUAUUCCCGAGGUUGGGGUAAUUGAGUAGUUUCGUUUCCUCAGUUUACAGGUGAUUGACAUGCUCAAUAAAUUAUCCCUAGACAACAAGUUCAUUAACCAAAUCUAAGUGCCACCGCAACAGAGACCCUCAAGUUAAUCUAGUCCCAGACUCAAUCACACUACAAGAAAACAGAUAAAAAACGACAACGAAAUGCGAUAACUUGUGUAGUCGUUUUAUUUUGCGACAACUAGGCGACGUUGUUACGACUAACGUAUGACAACAUGAAAAUUAGUCGUGAAGUAGUCGUCCACUUACGACUAAAUAAGUUAAUCGGCGAAUAGUCGUAAAUGGACGACUAUUUAACGAUUACAUUUCUGUAGAGAGAAAUUUGUCGUCAAAUAUUCGGUAAAUGACGACAAACUUUCCGACGACUUUAGUUAGUCGUAUAUUUGACGACAACCAGUCUGUUGUCGCAAAGUAGUUGCAAAGGUGUCGCAUGAAGUUGGUGAAAAACAUGUUUCGCAUUGCUAAGUAGGUACACCUAAUUUGUGAGCGACUACAACAUGUAGUCGUAAAUAAGUCAUAAAAAUUCGUCUAUAUAUUAAAACUUCACGACACUCUUUUUUCACCAACAAAUCAAAACAACAACAACAUCAA
Molecule: small RNA, 1535 nt
Filed under: Arabidopsis thaliana (thale cress)
Lineage: Eukaryota; Viridiplantae; Streptophyta; Magnoliopsida; Brassicales; Brassicaceae
Description: ATSL033040
Source: RNAcentral